AUGGCAAGGGGGCUGGGGACACGUAGCCACAGACUGCAGGCCAGGGUACAGGUGAACCCGAGCUGCCUCCGAGCAGACCCUGUGUUCCCUGCGGUCUCCCGGGCUGGUGGCACACUGUCUGCCCUUUUCAGGGACCUCUGCAGCCACCAGAGAGCGUGGCGACCCUGUGCGAUUUAUCUCCAGCUGCUCUCUGACCCGCCGUGAUUCCCUCCCCACCCCCACCUUUCCCCAGCCCGGAUCCUGCUCCUCCAGCUCCUCUUGGCCGGCGAUGUUGUCUUGUCGAUGUCCAAAAACCCCGUCCAGUGUCUACAGAAAGCCAUCCUUCCUGCUGGUCCCCAUCAGCUCCCGGCAAGGGAGCAACUCUUCAGCCUAAAAACGGAAAGAAGGCCCUGGUAAGACGUUCCUAGUUGCUUCCUAGCUGCGGAUGCCUCAGAUAAUUUCCUAUAAGAGCGAGCACCCACACGCUUUAGAUGGCAUAAAAUAUGAGUUCCAGAGGAAUUGAAUCGAAGUGCUCCUCCCACUGAGCUAUAUCCCCGGCUGGGUAUCCCUUAACUCCUGCAAUUUAAAACUGUCAGCCAGACUCGGUGGUGGACGUGUGGAAUCCCAGCACUCUCAGAGGCUGAGUCAGGAGGAUUUCAAGUUCAAACCCAGCCAAGGCCAUUUAGUUACUAAGGAAGAUCCUGUCAAAAAACAAAACAAACAAAAAGAAAGAGAAGGCUAGGUAUGUAGCUCGUUGUGAAGGCCCUGAGUACUGAAAAUCCCCAGUACUGAAAAAAAUAAAACUGUCAUAUUACUCUUCCAAAUGCAUCCAGUGGCAUCUAAAAGUCACAGCAAUUAGAAAGACACCAUCAUUCAUCUUUAACCAAUAAAAAUAAAAAACAUUGUUCUUGACCAUUGGAAACUGUAUAGUAUGCUUUGUUCUUGAACUUUUGUUUCCAUUCUGCUUCUCCAGUAAAAUUUUAUUCUAAUAUAAUAUAUCUUACUCUUAAUGGCAUUUUAUUGACC
Molecule: long non-coding RNA, 1005 nt
Filed under: Fukomys damarensis (Damara mole-rat)
Lineage: Eukaryota; Metazoa; Chordata; Mammalia; Rodentia; Bathyergidae
Description: lncRNA (ENSFDAG00000031223.1)
Source: RNAcentral